CUCCUCCGGGUGGCUGCAGUAACGAAUAUUCCGCAAUGGGCGAAAGCCUGACGGAGCGACGCCGCGUGGAGGACGAAUUCCCUCGGGAUGUAAACUCCUUUUCGGAUCAAGAAAACAAAGGGCGCUAAUAUCGCCCGGCGCUGAUCUAGUCCGGAAUAAGCCUGGGCUAACUCCGUGCCAGCAGCCGCGGUAAUACGGAGCAGGCAAGCGUUGUUCGGAAUUAUUGGGCUUAAAGCGCGUGUAGGCGCCCUAGCAAGUACCUUGUGAAAGCCCUCGGCUCAACCGAGGAGUUGCUUGGUAUACUGCUGGGCUUGAGGCGGGUAGGGGUGCUUGGAACUCUAGGUGGAGCGGUGAAAUGCGUAGAUAUCUAGGGGAACGCCUGUGGCGAAAGCGGAGCACUGGGCCCGACCUGACGCUGAGACGCGAAAGCGUAGGUAGCGAACGGGAUUAGAUACCCCGGUAGUCUACGCCGUAAACGAUGCGCACUAGGUAGUGGGGAUUACCGCCAUUCUCACUGCUGAAGCUAAAGUAUUAAGUGCUCCGCCUGGGGAGUACGGU
This 558-nucleotide ribosomal RNA is filed under the name uncultured bacterium. Its description in RNAcentral is "bacterial SSU rRNA". It matches the Rfam family "Bacterial small subunit ribosomal RNA", at positions 336 to 886 of the family's 1533-position model. The record is from RNAcentral.